This 5474-nucleotide long non-coding RNA is filed under the name Homo sapiens (human). Its description in RNAcentral is "HSALNT0093786". Lineage: Eukaryota; Metazoa; Chordata; Mammalia; Primates; Hominidae. The record is from RNAcentral.
UGCAUGGUAGGUGGUAAUAAAUUCUUAACAGUUUGUUGUUUGAUACUCAUGUUUGGCUUAUUGGAUCAUGGUGCCAGAGGCAAAAAUAAUUAGAAGGAGGAUAGUAUUUAGUAAAGCAAGACAAAAUUAAGUUUUAUUUAAAAAUUAUUAUUAUUAUGAUUGUGGUAAAAUACACAUAACAUAAAAUUUGCCAUCUUCACUAUUUUUAAUUGUGUAGUUCGGUGGUAUUAAAUAUGUUCACAUGUUAUGUAACCAUCAACAUCAUCAAUCUCCAUAAUGCUUUUCAUUUUGUAAAUCUGAAAUUCCAUACCCAUUAAGCAAUAACUCCCUAUUUACCCCACCCCCCAGACCCUGACAACCACAAUUCUAUUUUCUGUCUCUAUGGUUUAGACUACUUUAAGUACCUUUUAUAAGUGGAAUCAUGCAAUAUUUGUCUUUUUGUGACUGGUCAUUUUUCUUAGCAUAAAGUUGUCAACCUUUAUGACAACUUCUUCCAUAUUGUAGCAUAUGUAAGAAUUUCCUUCCUUUUUAAGGCUGAAUAAUCCAAAUUAAGUUUUGUAGCCUGAUAAAAUACUGACAGGUUGAACAUCAUAGAAAACCCUUUAUAAAAUCUGUAUUUAAAUAAAUAGUUUCCAUUCUAUAGAGUAUAAUGUUGCGCUUAUUAAAAGAGAAAUAAUGAUAAAAACAUGUAUUUGAUGUACAAACAUUCUGCUUAUGGCAUCUUGAAGAAUUUAGGACACAGUCACAUUCAGGAAUUACAGGCUAAUGAGCAUCUUCACCUCUUUUCAUUCACUCUGAAGAGGUUUCAUGAAAGUCAGAAGACUUUCAACAUUGGGAAUGUUGGAAUGAAAUGUGCUUUAGUAUUUUUAAUUUUUUUUAAAUAAAAUAAUCCAGGUGAGGUUAAUUAAUGCAUACACUCAGCCUAAUCAAAAGAAAUCUAUUGGGAUAAUGAGCAUUUUGGUGACUAUUGCAAAGAAAAAGGUGCUUAUUUCUAAGGCAGAAAGAAAAUAUAUUUUCAUAGUUAAUAUAUACAUUAAAAUUGUAUGUACUUGCAUAUUAGAUAUACACAGUGUUAAAGCUAUGGCUAAUAUAUCAUUUUGGAGAAAAAUCUGAGUAAAAAUUAACUCUUGUAAAGAGUUACUGGUGUCAGAUGGCAGAGUCCCAAAUGAGUGGAUUCGUUUAUCCCCACAAUGUAUCAGGUGAUCACCUCUCAUAAAAACUACUAUUAACCUAAAAAAUUAGGGUCAGUAAAAGCUUAGCUCUAAUUCACAAAUCUCAACAAGCUGAACUGUUAGACCCAGUGAGCUCAUUAGGAUAGAUUAAAGACCAAACAUAAUGACAUUACGAAAUAUGUGAUUUUAAUAUGUUUGAUCCUAUCAGAGCAAUCCUUUUAAUAACAUGAUUUUAUUGUGGAACCUUGUAUGUUUUCCUUAAAAACCAAAAAGACAAUCUAAAAAUUUAACCCAUUGUUGUUUCUUAGCUUGUAACCCCGUGAUACUUGAUUUAAUUUGGUAAAGCUGACUGAAGUGAUGCUAUUCUGGGACAUAAUGACAGCAAAGAUGACAUGAGCCAAUGCUGCAGCUGAAUUUCAAUUUUCAGUAAAAAAUCCUCACCCCACCUGCCACUGGAAUAGAAAUAAUAUCAAGGGCUAACUUCUAAUCUUGCACCCCUGUCAUACAUCAUACUCUGGAUUCCAACAGUCUACACCUAUUUUCUUUUAUAAUGGUCCUAACCCCAAACAAGCAACCUAGGGUUUGUAGCAACAAAAUCAGAUCCUUACAGUGAACAGGACUUUGCAAAGCACCUUCUUCAGAAUUAGUAAUAUUACUUACUUAAUAUGGGAAAAAACAUACAAAUCUUACCAUCAAUGGGCCAACUCAUAACCAACAAUUUAUAGCAUACAAGAACCUUCAUGGUAUCUUAUUCAACCUUUAACAUAAUUCUAUUUGUUAUCAUUAAUUCUAAAUCACAAAUGAGGAAACAGAGUCAGAAACAGCUGAUUUUUCACUGUGCUUGGGUUAGGUCCAACUCUGGAAUUAUCAUAUGCAAAUAAUGACAGAGAGAGGCUCUCAUAUAGUUGUAGAAUUGUAACAAGACAACAAGCAAUUCACAUAAGUCAUGGUUUCUCAGACAAUAAUCUUGUUUAGUAAUUAUUAGUCUUUAUCUGAAACACAUGGUUUGAUGGUAAAUUUUUUGAAUAGGCGAUAAUAAAAAAUAAUUCUCAAAAAGAACCCUCAAAGUCAACUGUGUGUAUUUCCUUCUUUCCUGGUGGGGAAAGUUUAUAAGGGUUGGGGCAAGUCCCUUCAGACCCAGGAAUUUGAUAAACACCAUCAGGGUUGUUGAGACCAACCUCACUGUGAGAGAGAAACAGAAUGAAUGAGAUGUUGAUAUAGGAAAGGAAGUAGCUGAAUUAAGAGUGUUUUCUUCUUUACUAACAGCCAGUCCACACGUUGAAAAGCAUUCAGUUACAAUUUUUAUCUAUAAAGAGUGGAACAUUCGCCCAAUGUCCCAGUACAAUAGGACCAUGAGAGUGAAGUUCCCUAAAGAACUCAACCAUUUCCAUGGAUAGAUGGCAGAGGAACACAGCUUUGCUGUCAGAAUGAUUUGUGACCAGGCCUAGAUGGGGACUGGGGGCAUCCUGGCAGGUUGAUAAUUUUAUUUUAAAACCAUAUUCUUUCAAUAUUUGUACAUUUAUAUCGAAGAGAGUCUGAGCUCUGUGUGGGAGCAAUGUGCAGUGGGAACUUCUGGGUCCCUCGGUGUCCCCUUUCAUGUCUUAGGCUAUUUGGCUCUACCAGGUGUGGAUAUUCCACUCAGCACGGCUGUGCCCACAGAGGCUGUGCCUCUGGCUUGCUCUUCUUGGAAGUCAGAUGCAAAUAUCGCCUUCUCGGGUCUUAGCCCCAUCUUAGUAUCCCAUCCUUUUCCCUAAGAAGAAACGUGGCAUAUACAAGUUCCUCCAUCUUGUGACAUUUCCACGAUUCUCUUAGCCCCUCUUACAGAACAGUUUCCCAAGCAGCAGCCUGCCUGAUCCACCCUUAAUUCAGCUGUGCGUCUGACAACAUGUUCUACAGGAAAGAUAACCUUGUACAUCAGGUGUUUCCUGUUUCCAGUACCAAAAGGUCAGUACUUGAUUACACAUGUAUUUACAAGGGUAGAGAAGGGAAAUGAUCAAAAGUUUUUACAACCAUAGUCCUUCAAUUAAGAAAGAAGUGGUCUUUAAUUUUCUCCAUUCUUUUUAAAAAUUCUCUUUCUACCUUUGUUUAAAUAUCUCUCCUAACUAGGAAAGACCUGUUGUACAUCAUACAAGGCAUACCAACCCACAUACUAGAACACAUAAGUAGGAGGAAUAGUGUUCUAGAAGAGAAUUACUAUUUGGAGAAAAAAAGGCAUAAUUUCCUUUUACAGUCAUGCAUUGCUUAAUGCCAGAGAUACGUCCUGAGAAAUGUGUGAUUAGGCAGUAUCAUCAUUGUGUGAACAUAAUAGAAUGUAUUUACACAAACCUAGGUGGUAUAACCCACUAUUCACCUAAGCAAUAUGGUACUGCUCCUAGGCUACAAACCUGUAUAGCAUGUUACUAUACUGGAUACUGUAAACAAUUGUAACCCAAUGGUAAGUAUUUACAUAUCUAAACAUAUCUGAGCAUUAAAAAGGUACAGUAAAAAUACAGUAUUCUAGUCUUACAGGAUUACCACUAUAUAUGCCCUUUGUCAUUGAUGGAACCAUCAUUAUGCUGUGCUUGCCUAUAUUUCAAAAUUCACUAUAAAAAGAUAGGUGAACCUCAGAUCCAUCUCCUAGAUGUAUGAUUUCUAGCUGCAUAUUAACCUCAGUCACAUUUUAAUAUUAUUCACACAAAAAUUAAAACACUCAGGUAUUUGUGAUGAAGUAAUUUUGCCUAAAUUUAUUUUAUUUCCAAAGAACCUGCAUCAAUUUGAUUCAGUAACAUUUAAAAUCAUUCAACAAAAAUCUUUCAAACUUUUAUGUUACAGUAAUAUUCAAACUCUUUUUUUGUGGCUCAAAUCUUUUUAUGAACUUCAAUUAUGUGAAAAUAUCCAAUUUUAUUUUUAAAUAAAGAUGUUUAGAAAUGUAUUGAUAUUUGUCAAAUCUAAGUUGCAGCUAUGUAAGUUUUUAUUAAGUCAUUCUCUGUGUAUACUUCUAAGUAUGUUGGACUUCUUACAUAAAAAAUUAAACGUUAUUGAGGAAAGAAAAGGGAGAAUAAGUUUCAAAAAGAAAUUUAUCUUUCUUUAGAUAUAUAUAAUCAUCACAAAAUAUUAUCAGAUAACAAAUCUUGAAUUUUACUUUAAAUGAAAACAUUUUUCAGAUCUGUCUUACUAAUUUUAUGUAAUUCCUUUUCACAUGUUUCGUGAGGCUGAUAAAAUGCUUCGUAAGCAGGUAUUCAUGUGGCUCUAUAACAAGUUAUUUUUAGGAAGCUUAUAUACAAAAAUACUUGCCACACUUUCUCUCACUCUCUGGACAGUCAGACAAGAAGGCUCACUUUCUCCAGGAAUCUCCUAGUGCCAGGUUCUGGGCUGUGGACACCAUGCUGGCCAGAGGAAGCUGCUGCACAGGUACAGAGGUGCAGAGGGUGGGGCUGCACUGAGAGGGCGGGGCGGGAUCAGAAGUAAUUUGACCAGUUAGGAAGCUACUGCAAUAGCAAUAUUGAUUAUUUACUAUGUGUCAGAUGCUGUGCCAUUGUGCUAGGUGCUGGGCAUAGGAGUGAAAAAGACACCAAAGUCCUCAGUUCCAGGGAAUUAAUUUUUCUAGUAAACAAACAAACCAAAAAACAAGGAAAGUCAUCAUUACUAUGGAGAAAACAACACUGGAUCUUGUCAUAGCGACUGAGGCCUCCACAGAAGUGUCUUCCUUUGGCUUUGGUAUCAAGGUAAUGCUGGCCUCAUAAGGCAGAAUCAUAAUUCUCUACCAGCUGCUUAUUUUAGAGUCAUCUGGGUCUGGGGAUGGUUCUGGACAAAAAUACAAAUUUGGAGACCCAUCACUGGUUUGUAGGAUCAGUGAGAUCAUGAAAACUAGAAGUAAUUUCAACGCGACUUUUUUUAUUUACUUUGGAAAUGGUUCAGUUGGACACAUGAGUGAUAAGAGGUGGACAUUUCAAGUUCAAUUGUGUUUGAUGACUCAUUAGGUUAAAGAAGCUGUCAGGUGGUAAAGUCACCCCAGGUUGUUAAUAAAUAUACCAGAGAAUAAUGGUCCUGCUAUUGAUGGAUCCCAAGGGAGAAUUCCUAUUAAUCACUUCAAUCUUAGGGAGCACAAAGGAAAGGCCAUGCGAGGACACAGGGAGAAGACAGGCCCCUACCAGUCAGGAAGGGAGCCCUCACCAGAAACUGAGCUGGCCAGCACAAUGGUCUUGGACUUGUAGCUCCAGAACUGUGAGGAAAUAAAUUUCUGUUGUUGAAGCCACCCAGUCUGUGAUUUUUUUUAUGGCAGUACUAGCAGAUUGAUAUACCUUCCAUCUAGUUGCCUGAAAA